Molecule: ribosomal RNA, 464 nt
Filed under: uncultured bacterium
Lineage: Bacteria
Description: partial 16S ribosomal RNA
Rfam family: Bacterial small subunit ribosomal RNA
Source: RNAcentral
GACGAACGCUGGCGGCGUGCUUAACACAUGCAAGUCGAACGGAAAGGCCCUGCUUGCAGGGUCCUCGAGUGGCGAACGGGUGAGUAACACGUGUGUGUUCUGCCCUUCACUUCGGGUUAAGCCUGGGAAACUGGGUCUAUUACCGGAUAGGCGUCAUUUUUAGUGUGAUGGUUGUACAGUUUUUUCGGUGUAGGAUGAGCUGGCGUCCUAUCAGCUUGUUGGUGGGGUAAUGGCCUACCAAGGCAGCGACCGGUAGCAGGCCUGAGAGGGUGGACGGCCAAAAGAGGACUGAGGUAGGGAGCAGACGCGAACGGGAGGCAGCGGAGGGGAAUAUUGGACAAUGGGAGCAAGCCUGAUGAGAAGAAGCAGGGAGGGGGAAGAAGGCCAUGGGGUUGGAAAGUGAAGUAGGUAGAGACGAAGCUAUUGUGACGGUACCUAGAGAAGAAGCACCGGCUAACUACGUG